Molecule: long non-coding RNA, 401 nt
Organism: Hyla sarda
Lineage: Eukaryota; Metazoa; Chordata; Amphibia; Anura; Hylidae
Exons: 3
Source: RefSeq, a predicted model, not a curated record
GCGACAGAAACUAGAGGUUGGUUUAAAGGGACCGCUACAGGAAAAAGAAAACAGGUCACAUGACUCUGUCCAGUUGUAAAGGGGGAAGUGGUUAUAAUGUUAAAGGAGAGUCUGCAGGAGCCACCCCUCGUGCCACCGAGGCCAGGAACUCCUGACGUUUCUGCUGCACCAGACAUGCUGCCCGAAUGAUCUUGUGGCGGGGGGUGCGCAAGUAAGGCCUGUUCACCUUCUGGGCCAGAUCUUCCGUCACCAUUUCAAGGUCGGUCUGCAAAGGCUCCAGGAAGAAACCGUAAGGAUAAGAACACUUGAGGAUGCGCCUGGUCUUGAGCAGCUCUUGCACAGCAUCUUCAAUAAAGGUGGUGUCUGGGCAGCCCCCCUCCGCUAUAAGGCAGACAGAUCAA